RNAcentral lists this long non-coding RNA (3309 nucleotides) under Sus scrofa (pig). Its description in RNAcentral is "lncRNA (ENSSSCG00050060733.1)". Lineage: Eukaryota; Metazoa; Chordata; Mammalia; Artiodactyla; Suidae. The record is from RNAcentral.
AAUAGCUCUCUGUUCAUAGUUCCCUGACUAAUCACACCACCUUCAGGUACUUCCUAAGGUGAUAAAAGGACCAGAAGGAAGGAAUUCUAGAAAAUGUCCAAUUCCUUCACGUUCCUCGAGAGCCUACAUGCCCAAGUGCUAAAAACUUUUUAGGUAGAAUGAGCUGCGCUAUUUUCAGCAGGUUGCCUCAUUUCUGAGCAAUGUACCUAAGUCCACUAGAAUGCAGAGCAGACAGAAGACUCUCUUACAGGGUUGUCAGGAGAGAGCAUCAUUUGUGCCUUUCCAUGCUUGAAGGGGUGCUUUGGACUCAAAAUGUCUGAUCUUAUUACACUAAACUGGUUUCCUUAUGGCUACAUCCAAUUUGAUAGAAAUUUCUUCAAAGGCCACAGUAAUCUCUAGGAUACUUAGUUUCCUUUUUUCUUUUUUCUUUUUUUUGCUGAUUUUUGUCUUAAUUUUAAAGAACUAUUUCUGUCAUCUCAUCAGCUAAAGGAUCUGUACUCAGAUCUGUACUGCCCAUUUCAACAUGCAGCAUUGCAUCAUGAUAUACACAUUAUUGUUUGUAUUAAAUAUUGGCUGUUUCUGGACUGAGAUCCUGAGAUGUUUAGUACAUUUGAACUGUUCUGAUUUAGUUUGGAGUUAGGCACUUACUGAAAACAAUUGGUGGAAAUAUCCACCCUCCACCCCCUUUCUUUCAGUUUUGGACUCUGACAUUCAGCCAGGAAGAUAGGUUUUGAAGGUCGUGGUCAUGAAGGGGGGGUUAAAGGAGGAAGAAAAUAUGGACCUUGAGAAAUAUAUAUAAAGUCCUGAUCAAACUAUGCCAGUUUCCAGGUUCCAUUUGAGCCCCCUGCUGUCAGGCAUAUCAAGGUAGAGAGUGGUGUGUUUGGGGGGGCGGGGGGAAUGGUAGAAGAAAUGAAAAAUCCCUGAAAAGUAUAUUGUGGUAAGAUCCCCAAAGCAUAUCAGAUUGUAAUUGUAUACAGUCACUAAUGGGAACAGGCUUGUGCUGCAAUCUGCAGUCAUGAUCACGGGUAAUCAGAUCUGGGGCCUCCCAGGACAUGGUGAUUGUUGUAGACUAGACCAAAAUACAAUGAGCUGUUUGAAUCUCUCCUAUGGGGCUGGCCAGCUUCCCAAGAUGUGUGGGGAGAGGGAGGAGUGCUGUAUGUUUCAGAAUGUUUUUCCUCUGGGGAUGGGCCUCAGGUCUCAGACCUCCUGAUAGGAGAUCAUAUGUCACUUCCAUAAAGGUUUCUCUCUUCAUGUAUGUAUUUGCUUUUCAAUCUCAGAUUGAACUGGCUCUGACUCUUGGAUUGAUUAAAUGCAGGUCCAUUAUGUUACUCCAUGGGUAUAUUUGAUUAGGUGUCCAUGUGCCUUAAGUUCAAAUGCCUGCGGUGGGUCGAGCAGGCAGCAUGAAUAUGAAAUGGGGUUUGUGGCAAGCUGGAGAAUCGAUUUCUCUUUCAAAGGGGGAUCUACUAGUCAGCUUCAGACAAUAGGGUAGGCUGGCCAAGGUGGCCAGACCUUCUGAUUUUUCAAGAAAGCCAGAAAUCGUGUUUUUGUUUUUGUUUUGUUUUGUUUGUUUUUGUUUUUUGUUUUUACUGUGCCUGCUUCAUUCAGCUCCCAAGCCUAAGCCUCCAGGUUAAAUUGAUUUUCUGAUGGGAAAAAACAAACUUAUUCAAGUCACUUCAUGUUACUGAGAACUGUGUAAAUGGCCUCUAGCUUGUGGUGUUUCAACUUAAGGAUUUUUCGACUUCAUGAUGGUCUGAAAGAUACUAAAACCACUCUGUACUUGUUUUCCUUGUUAAAGUAUUAGACUGAAAGGUUUUGUGUUCUUUUUUACAACUGCACCUUUUAUUGUGGGAAAUAAUGUGCUCAACUUGUACCCUACCUACAGUCAUGGUGAGCUUCCCGUAGCUUUUCUUUAUUAAGUUGAACUUGAUAAAUUCUAUCAGUCACCAUCAAUUAAGGAUGAAAUACAAGAAAACAUGAAUGUGUGUGAGGAGAGCAUCCCAGCACGGGAUCCAGGGUACGGUUGGCCAUGACUUUUAGAUUUUAAAAUGUCCAUGAUCUGCAAUUUCUAAAUGCUGUUUUCCAGAUGGACAUGCACAUUUUUCGUUCCACAUCUGUAAAAUAAGAAUAGGAGACUAUUUAACCCAUGCUAAAAUUAGUAAGUAUGUUUAUUUUUAAACAUCUGUUAUAGGGCAAUUUUUAUGUUCAGAGCGGGGGUGCCAAGUAUAGCGAGUAAGGCCAAUAUUUCUCCUUCAGAUCCCUUUCAGCCCUGCACUCAUUGUCAUCACUCACGUGCAUUGGGUUGUGUGGGGUUGGUCAAACAUCCAGCAUCCUCGGGGGAGGACAGGUAGGAUUAGUUGAGAGUAGGGCCUGAGAGGUGGGAGAUAGAGGAGAGGCAUCACAUCUGUCCCCUGUCUGUCCUCUUGGAAGCUGCUGGAGAUGCUGGUCAGAGGAGUGAGACCAGAAAGGGAGGAAAAGGCUUCCUGAGACUAUGAGGCAACAAGAGGUAAGAGGAGGAAACCACAAAGCCUCCUUUUGGGAGAAACUUUAGGAAUCUUCAGCACAAGCAGAACUGCCUAGAAACAAAGUGUGGCAGGGCUGAUUGGAGCCUGGGGAUUCUGUACUCACCCCUCUGUAUAGAAUCUUCUCAGCUCUGGUACCUGGUGGACAGAGGCUCUAGGAGCAUCAGCAUUCUGCAGGCUUGGCACAGAUCCUAGCUCUCUCCACAGGCUCUGCCAGCAAGGGUCUGGCUUUGUCCUCAAGAGCUCUGAUGAAAGCAGAUGCUGAUGGGAGGGAGUGUUGGAGGAGAUGGCAAGGCUGGGCAGAGAAGUACCCUGAAUGGGAAUAGUUGCUCAAGGAAAAACAAAUCAGCCAGCCUAUAAAUGAUGGUAGUGUCUUGCGCCCCCUUUCAGUUUUGUGGAAAUGAAAGUCCAUAAAGGUUAAAAACAUUUUCAAGUGUUUUUAAUCACAGAGUCAGAAUUGCAAUCUGGAGCCCUCGCUGCUCCAGUUUCCUCCAGUUUCCUUAGUGUGGUUAUUUCUAAGGAUGAAUUUCCAUGGAUUAAAAUGUUUAUGCUGGGGAGUUCCCGUUGCGGCACAGUGGUUAACGAAUCCGACUAGGAACCAUGAGGUUGCGGGUUUGAUCCCUGCCCUUGCUCAGUGGGUUAAGGACCCGGCGUUGCCGUGAGCUGUGGUGUAGAUUGCAGACGCAGCUCGGAUCCCGCGUUGCUGUGGCUCUGGCGUAGGCUGGUGGCUACAGCUCCGAUUGGACCCCUAGCCUGGGAACCUCCAUAUGCCGUGGGAGCGGCCCAAGAA